Molecule: small nuclear RNA, 107 nt
Organism: Rhincodon typus (whale shark)
Lineage: Eukaryota; Metazoa; Chordata; Chondrichthyes; Orectolobiformes; Rhincodontidae
Source: RefSeq, a predicted model, not a curated record
GUGUGUAGGCAACACCUAUACUAAAAUUGGAAUGAUACAGAGAAAAUUAGCUUAGUCCCUGCGUAAGGGAUUUUAGUUUAAUGUUUCAUCAAAAAUCGAGUACUUCU